CCUACGGGGGGCAGCAGUGGGGAAUAUUGGACAAUGGGGGGAACCCUGAUCCAGCCAUGCCGCGUGUGUGAAGAAGGCCCUCGGGUUGUAAAGCACUUUCAGUGAGGAAGAACGCCUGGUGGUUAAUACCCAUCAGGAAAGACAUCACUCACAGAAGAAGCACCGGCUAACUCCGUGCCAGCAGCCGCGGUAAUACGGAGGGUGCGAGCGUUAAUCGGAAUUACUGGGCGUAAAGCGCGCGUAGGUGGCUUGAUAAGCCGGUUGUGAAAGCCCCGGGCUCAACCUGGGAACGGCAUCCGGAACUGUCAAGCUAGAGUGCAGGAGAGGAAGGUAGAAUUCCCGGUGCAGCGGUGAAAUGCGUAGAGAUCGGGAGGAAUACCAGUGGCGAAGGCGGCCUUCUGGACUGACACUGACACUGAGGUGCGAAAGCGUGGGUAGCAAACAGGAUUAGAUACCCCAGUAGUC
This 465-nucleotide ribosomal RNA is filed under the name Vreelandella stevensii. Its description in RNAcentral is "partial 16S ribosomal RNA". It matches the Rfam family "Bacterial small subunit ribosomal RNA", at positions 338 to 795 of the family's 1533-position model. The record is from RNAcentral. Lineage: Bacteria; Pseudomonadati; Pseudomonadota; Gammaproteobacteria; Oceanospirillales; Halomonadaceae.